AUACUUACCUGGCAGGGGAGACAUCAUGAUGAGGCAGGUGGUUUUCCCAGGGUGAAGCUCAUCUCUUGUACUCUGGGUGUGCUGACCCCUGCGAUUUCACCAAAUCCGGGAAGCUUGACUGCAUAACUUGUGGUAGUGGGGGACUGCGUUCGUGUCCUGUU
RNAcentral lists this small nuclear RNA (161 nucleotides) under Cuculus canorus (common cuckoo). Its description in RNAcentral is "U1 spliceosomal RNA". It matches the Rfam family "U1 spliceosomal RNA". Rfam says of the family: U1 is a small nuclear RNA (snRNA) component of the spliceosome (involved in pre-mRNA splicing). Its 5' end forms complementary base pairs with the 5' splice junction, thus defining the 5' donor site of an intron. There are significant differences in sequence and secondary structure between metazoan and yeast U1 snRNAs, the latter being much longer (568 nucleotides as compared to 164 nucleotides in human). Lineage: Eukaryota; Metazoa; Chordata; Aves; Cuculiformes; Cuculidae. The record is from Rfam by way of RNAcentral.